Molecule: long non-coding RNA, 5478 nt
Filed under: Populus tremula
Lineage: Eukaryota; Viridiplantae; Streptophyta; Magnoliopsida; Malpighiales; Salicaceae
Description: long non-coding RNA (PTRE_LNC000835)
Source: RNAcentral
UUGAAGGGAACUCUAAAGAAAUUGAAUAAAAGAAACGUUGCAAAGUAAUAAAACCUAAUCUAGAAUUUCUGGGCAGUUUCGAGGUAGCCCGGGCCUCCUGGGUGAAUGAGAUUUGCUUCAAAGCAAUUUCCUGCCUCUCUACAGCCCCCUUCCUCCCCUAUUUAUUCUAAUUCUUGAUCCGUAGAAAAUUGGGAAUGACAGGUGGAAUUGCCAACUGUAUUUAUCUAAAUCUAUUUUAUUUGGACUCUUUUUCUUACUGCAAACGGUGCUGUUUGCCCCUUGGAUUUAUUCCCUGCCAGCUGUCAGCCGCAGGAUCUUCUUCAUCUCAGCCCUCCACGUAAGUCUCUCACAUUCGAUCUUGAUUGUACACGUACUCACUAUCUUUUCUUGCUGUAGGUAGUCUUCUCCAACACGCCUUCCUCCUUUCUUCAUCGGCUUCAGCUUUGGAUCUUUUCUCUCUCGAAGCCGGAUUGUUACAAUCACUCUCCCCCUUUAAAAAACCUUGCCCUCAAGGUGAGGGAAAGAAUCUUUUAACCAUGUUUCUUCGACCCAAACGGCGUCUUUUUUGGGCUGUCCUUCCCACCUUAACAGAACUUCUUCCUUCAUCUCUCUUCGUGAAACUUGACUUUUUCGGUCAAGGAUUUCUGCCGGUUCUGGUUGGGGUUGCUACUUGGUUUCGAUCAUGGGUAGCUUCGGUUUGGGGAUAAUUCCCUUUCCGAUCCAUUUCUUCAACAGUGAGACGUGAAAUGUGCUAUGGAUUCGAGCUUCCUUGGGGAGGUCUAGCUGGUAAGCCACUUCUCCCACUCUUUUUAAGAUUUUGAAUGGCCCAAAAUACUUGUAUGUUAACUUCACAUUUUUGUUUCUUGGCAUGCUGGUUUGUCAAUAUGGCUGGAGCUGGAGGUAAACCCAUUCCCCUUCUUUAAAUUGAGCUUCUUUUCUGCCUUUGUCUGCUUGUUUCUUUUGCCUCUCUUGAGCUUGAGCUAAGUUAUGUUUGAUUACUGCCAUUUGUUCUGUCCUGUGUUGUAAAUGAUCUUCUGCUGCUUGAUUUUUCGUUGAACUUGGGAUGUAAUCUGUGAGACUUGGGGGCGGGUAGCCGUAGGUUGCUUCAAACGGGGUGGAUUUGAGGGAUGAGUGAUAGCUGGUAUUGUAGCAAUAUUCGGCCAUGGUUAGCCAAUUGGACCAACCCUUUGGCUUGUCUCCCACAUAUCACCUCAAAUACCCUUCCAGUGUCUUGUUGGUUGCCUCUGUUUACCCGUUGGUUUGGGGGUGGUAUGUUGUAGACAUCAGCAGCUUGACCCCUUGAAGUUGAAAUAAUUCCCCUUAAAAUUUGCUAGUGAAGGUAGGAUCUCGGUCUGAUACUAUGUCGUUUGGGAGCCCAUGCAAUUUCAUUACAUUUUGAGAGAACAGGUUGGCAAUUUUGGUUGCACUGUAGGGGUGGGAAACGGGAAUAAAAUGGGCAUAUUUGAUAAACCUAUCCACGACUACUAUAAUGACUGAAUAUUGAUUAGAUUUUGGUAGUCCUUCUAUAAAAUCCAUAGAUAUGGAUGACCAUGGUUUAGUGGGUAUAGGCAAGGGCUGUAAGAGCCCGGAUGGUUUUUUGUUUUCCCCUUUGGCUCUCUGGCAGACUUCACAUUGUUUUAUAUAGGUUUGUAUGUCUGAUUUCAUCCCUACACAAAAGAAGUCUCUCCUCGCCCGUUUUAGUGUUCUCUCAAACCCUGUAUGUCCUGAGGGUGGACUGUCAUGAAUGUAAUUCAGUAUGUCAUUUUUUAUAGGGCUGGAUUGGCUUAUGUAGACUCUGUGUUUAUAGUAUAGAAUUCCUCCCCUAAACUGAUAUUUUAAAGACCCUAUGGUUUCUCGGUUGAGUUGUUGUAUGAUAGUUUGAAUUUCUGGAUCAGUUUUGUAACUCUCUUUUAACUGAUCAGUCCGGUCAACAAUUGGAGUAGAGAUAGCCCAUAGUGUACCUUUUUCUGUAGUAUCCUCCUGCCUAGAAAAUGCACCAGCUACUAGGUUUUCCUUUCCUACUCGAAACUCGACCACAAAGUCGUAUCCAAUCAAUUUGGAUAGCCAUUUCUGCUGUGUGGGUGUUCCAACCCAUUGUUCUAACAGAUAUUUGAGGCUUUGUUGAUCUGUUUUGAUCUUAAAGGCUUGGCCCAAUAAAUAAGGCCUCCAUUUCUGAACAGCUGUGACUAGUGCCAAAAAUUCCUUUUCAUAUGUUGAUAGUGAUAGUUCUCUCCCUUUUAGACUUUUGCUGAAGUAGGAUAUGGGUCGGCCACCCUGCAUUAACACGGCACCAAGUCCUAUACCUGAGGCAUCACAUUUGAUUAUGAAGUUUUGGUUGAAAUCUGGUAAUGCUAGGACCGGUGGGGUUGACACUGCCUUUUUUAAUUUCUCAAAGGCUUGGUCUGCUUCUGAAUCCCAUUUAAAAGCCCCCUUUUUCAGGAGUCUGGUUAAGGGGCCUGCGAUCACUCCGUAACCUUUGAUGAAUCUACGGUAGUAGCCUGUCAGCCCUAGGAACCCCCUUAGUGAUUUGAGUGUGUUUGGCUUAGGCCACUUGAUCAUUAACUCUACCUUGCUGGGAUCAGCAUGCACUCCCUGCCCUGAUACUAUAUGCCCCAAAUAUUCGAUUUCACUGCUUGCGAAUUUACAUUUGGACUGUUUGGCAAAUAGCUUAUGUCGAACUAGUGUCUCAAAUACCAUCCUUAGGUGUCUCUCAUGCUCCUCCGCAUUAUGGCUGUAGACUAGGAUGUCAUCGAAGAAAACCAGCACGAAUUUUCUAAGAUAGGGUCGAAAAAUAUCAUUCAUCAACCUUUGAAAAGUGGAAGGGGCAUUUGUGAGGCCGAAGGGCAUCACCAGGAAUUCAUAGUGCCCUUCAUGAGUCCUAAAGGCUGUUUUAGGGAUAUCUUCUUCCUUCAUUCUGAUCUAAUGGAAGCCUGAUCGGAGGUCUAGUUUGGAAAAAAAUUGAGAACUAUGUAGUUCAUCUAGUAACUCUUCCACAACUGGUAUGGGAAAUUUAUCCUUUACAGUCUCCUUGUUGAGGGCACGGUAGUCCACGCACAUUCUCUAGGACCCAUCGGCCUUCCUAACUAAUAGGAUCGGUGAUGAAAAAGGGCUUUGGCUGGGUCUUAUAGUACCCAAGGCUAACAGCUCCUUAAUUAAUUUUUUUAUCUUAGAUUUUUGGUAGUAGGGGUAUCUGUAAGGGCGUACACUUAUUGGGGAAGUGCCUUCCUUUAGUAUUAUGGAAUGAUCAUGUGAUCUGCUAGGUGGAAUUCCUUUUGGCUCUUGAAAUACUUCCAUGAAUUCCAACAACAAUUUCUCAAUCUGUUCUGGCAGUUUAUUAUAAGCUGAUCCAAGCUCCCAAAUUUGCAGAAUCAGUCCUUCUUCGACUCUCCUCAAUUCUUGUAAGAAGGUUAGGCUGCAAUCCACCUCUGAUUUCUACACUCCUAUUCCCUGAACUAAAACCCUUUUUCCUUCCUUUUGGAAUUCCAUUUGUAAGGCCGAAAAGUCCCAAAGAAUAGGCCCUAAACUUUUAAGCCACUGGAUUCCUAGCACCAUAUCGCAUCCUCCCAGCUGUAUGACAUAAGCUCUAGUGAUAAACUGAUCUCCUUGAAUCAUCAGUCUAAUAUCUGGACAGCUUUCCUCACUCCACAGCUUGGACCCAUCGGUAAUGUUUACACCAAUAGGGUUAUGUUUGAGGACCUUUAUUCUUGUUCUUCUUGCUACCCUUGGAUGUACGAAAUUAUGUGUACUUCCUGUGUCAAUUAGGGCCACGAAAUUAUGGCCACUCGGCUUCACGGACACCCUCAUAGUUUUAGGAUUGGGGUUUCCAAUGAUUGCAUGGAGGGAUAUGUCGAUUCCCUCCUUGCCCUCUUCUUGAGGGUCUCUUAGAUCAAUCAGGUCUUCAGGAAUAAAACUUUUAUCCUCCAUCUCCUCCUCUAAUUCCUCUAUCAAAAAUAUUUUGGGUCCUCCACACCUAUGGCCAGGUCCCCAUUUGCUGUCACAUUUAAAGCAAAGCCCCUUGUCUCUCUUUUCCUUCAUCUGUGCUGGAGAGAGUCUCUGUAUCAUCAUUGGUUUAGUUUCAGCCCUGGGCUGAGAGGGUGUUGGGUUUCGGUUUUGGAACCCCAUAUUGCUAGGUCUCCAAGAUUUCCUCAUGAUUGUCAGGUUCUCUUCUUGCAUUCUUGCCAACCCAUAAGCAACCACGAGAUUCUGGGGGUUUAGCAUUCUGACCCCCAUUCUUAUCUCCUCUUUUAAUCCUCCUAAGAAGCAACUGAGCCGGUGAGAGUCAGACAGUCCUCUGACCCGGUUCGAAAGCAUCUCAAAUUGGGUUUUGUAGAGCUCUACAGUUGUGGUUUGUUUAAUGUUGAUGAGGGCCUCCAUAAGGUCAUCAUAAGAGGAGGUUCCAAAACGGAUUUGGAGGGCCUUAAUAAAAGCCUCCCAACUGGUAAGAAUUCCAGUGUCUUCUAAUUCUUGAUACCAGGUUAUGGCCUUCCCUUCCAUGUGAAAGCUGGCUAUAAACAACCGGUGUUGUGCAGGAGUGCUAUGAAAGUUAAAGAAUUGAUUGGCCUUGUAUACCCAGCCAAUAGGAUCAUCUCUAUUAAACUAAGGAAACUCUAAUCGGAUUGAUUUGAGUUGAACUUGCUGAAAUCCUUCCUGUGGUACUACUUCGUGCCUAGUAUUUCCAUUGACUGAUCUGGUGGGAGAAUUAGAGGGGGAGCCCAUGGGCCUUUUCCCGUGGGCCUUGGCCAUCUGAUCCAUCCUGGUGGACAUGUUCUUUAAUUGAUGGACUAUGUCCUCCAAUAUUUGCUGCUAAUUCUGCUGGUUUUGUUGCUGUAUCUCCUGUUGUUUUUUCAUCCCUGAAACUGUUUCAAUCAAUUGGGAAACCCUCGUUCCUUUAGCCAUCCGAAGAUCGUGGCUCUGAUACCACUUGUAAUGAUCUUUAAUAAUUCGAAGGGAAAGAAUUAAAAGAUUCUUUAUUAUUGCUUUUCUUGAACCUGACCCUUACAGGUAAAUUUCGGUAAAACUGAAACAAUUGAAGGGAACUCUAAAGAAAUUGAAUAAAAAGAAACGUUGCAAAGUAAUAAAACCUAAUCUAGAAUUUCUGGGCAGUUUCGAGGUAGCCCGGGCCUCCUGGGUGAAUGAGAUUUGCUUCAAAGCAAUUUCCUGCCUCUCUACAGCCCCUUUCCUCCCCUAUUUAUUCUAAUUCUUGAUCCGUAGAAAAUUGAGAAUGACAGGUGGAAUUGCCAACUGUAUUUAUCUAAAUCUAUUUUAUUUGGACUCUUUUUCUUACUGCAAACGGUGUUGUUUGCCCCUUGGAUUUAUUCCCUGCCAGCUGUCAGCCGCAGGAUCUUCUUCAUCUCAGCCCUCCACGUAAGUCUCUCACAUUCGAUCUUGAUUGUACACGUACUCACUAUCUUUUCUUGCUGCAUGUAGUCUUCUCCAACACGCCUUCCUCCUUUCUUCAUCGGCUUCAGCUUUGGAUCU